Molecule: ribosomal RNA, 809 nt
Filed under: uncultured bacterium
Lineage: Bacteria
Description: bacterial SSU rRNA
Rfam family: Bacterial small subunit ribosomal RNA
Source: RNAcentral
UCGAACGCGUGUAGCAAUACACGAGUGGCGAAAGGGCGAGGAAUAGAUUCCUACGUACCCCGGAGUCAGGGAUAACCAUCGGAAACGGUGGCUAACACCUGAUGAUCUCGAAAGAGCAAAGUUUACGCUCUGGGAGCGGGGAAUCUCCUAUCAGCUAGUUGGUGAGGUAACGGCUCACCAAGGCUAAGACGGGUAGCGGGUGUGAGAGCACGGCCCGCCGCAUCGGGACUGAGACACUGCCCGGACUCCUACGGGAGGCUGCAGUAACGAGUCUUCCGCAAUGCGCGAAAGCGUGACGGGGCAAUGCCGCGUGUGGGAUGAAGCCCCUCGGGGUGUAAACCACUGUCAGGGUCUAGGAACACAAUGACCAUACCCAAAGGAAGCACCGGCUAACUCUGUGCCAGCAGCCGCGGUAAUACAGAGGGUGCGAGCGUUAAUCGGAAUCACUGGGCUUAAAGGGUCCGUAGGCGGGACUGCAGGCGUCGAGUGAAAUACCACGGCUCAACCGUGGAACUGCUCGGCGAACCGCAGUUCUUGAGGCGAGUGGAGGCGAUCAGAACGAUAGGUGGAGCGGUGAAAUGCGUAGAUAUCUAUCGGAAUGCCAAAGGUGAAGACAGGUCGCUGGGCUCGUCCUGACGCUGAGGGACGAAAGCGUGGGGAGCAAACGGGAUUAGAUACCCCGGUAGUCCACGCCGUAAACAAUGCGCACUGGGUCGGGGGGGUUUGACGCCCUCCUGGCCGAAGCAAAAGUGUUAAGUGCGCCGCCUGGGGAGUACGGUCGCAAGGCUAAAACUCAAAGGAAUUGACGG